ACCUAUGACCAAAUCACCCGGAACGCGCACGAUCUUGUCAGUCCUCGGAAGCUAAAGCAGUGUUGAGCGUGGAUAGUGCUGGGACGGGUGACUACCAUGCAUAAAACAGAUGUUGCAAGGC
RNAcentral lists this ribosomal RNA (121 nucleotides) under Petromyzon marinus (sea lamprey). The record is from RNAcentral. Lineage: Eukaryota; Metazoa; Chordata; Hyperoartia; Petromyzontiformes; Petromyzontidae.